AAUUUGAAAGAUCUGCGCUUUAAGAAUCUAAUUGCAUCUAGAAGAAAGAGAUUCUAAUAUUUGUUUUGUUUUCUUGGGUUAUACAUGUUAUUGCACAAGGUCCACUGAAACUUCGUUAUAGUUGUAUGCUGAGUAGGACUACCUCCUAUGUACUAGCCUUCACUGACGGCUGGUGGUUUUUUAGCCAAUUUUGGAUGUUUAUCAUCAUCACAUCUGAAUUGCGAUACUGACAAAGCCAUUUAAGUUCAACUUUCUGA
This is a non-coding RNA of Hydra vulgaris (swiftwater hydra), 257 nucleotides long. The record is from RefSeq and is a predicted model, not a curated record. NCBI's taxonomy places the organism in Eukaryota, Metazoa, Cnidaria, Hydrozoa, Anthoathecata, Hydridae.